This 789-nucleotide ribosomal RNA is filed under the name uncultured soil bacterium. Its description in RNAcentral is "bacterial SSU rRNA". It matches the Rfam family "Bacterial small subunit ribosomal RNA", at positions 8 to 815 of the family's 1533-position model. The record is from RNAcentral.
AGAGUUUGAUCCUGGCUCAGAAUCAACGCUGGCGGCGCGCCUAACACAUGCAAGUCGAACGAGAAAGUGGAGCAAUCCAUGAGUAAAGUGGCGUACGGGUGAGUAACACGUGGAUUAUCUGCCCUUUAGUGGGGAAUACCGCUGGGAAACCGGCGACAAUACCGCAUAAGCUCGAGAGAGGAAAGCGGUUCUAUGAAAGUAGAGCCGCGCUGAAGGAGGAGUCCGCGGUCGAUUAGCCAGUUGGUAGGGUAAUGGCCUACCAAAGCUGUGAUCGAUAGCCGGCCUGAGAGGGCACACGGCCACACUGGCACUGAAACACGGGCCAGACUCCUACGGGAGGCAGCAGUGGGGAAUCUUGCACAAUGGGGGAAACCCUGAUGCAGCGACGCCGCGUGAGCGAUGAAGCCCUUCGGGGUGUAAAGCUCUUUCGGCAGGAAAGAUUAUGACGGUACCUGCAGAAGCAGCUGCGGCUAACUACGUGCCAGCAGCCGCGGUAAUACGUAGGCAGCAAGCGUUGUUCGGAGUUACUGGGCGUAAAGGGUGCGUAGGCGGCUCGAUAAGUAUGGUGUGAAAUCUCCCGGCUUAACUGGGAGGGUGCGCUAUAGACUGCCGGGCUAGAGUGUGGGAGAGGAAAGUGGAAUUCCUGGUGUAGCGGUGAAAUGCGUAGAUAUCAGGAGGAACACCGGUGGUGUAAACGGCUUUCUGGACCAUAACUGACGCUGAGGCACGAAAGCGUGGGUAGCAAACAGGAUUAGAUACCCUGGUAGUCCACGCCCUAAACGAUGCAUA